Non-coding RNA from Myotis davidii, 75 nucleotides. NCBI's taxonomy places the organism in Eukaryota, Metazoa, Chordata, Mammalia, Chiroptera, Vespertilionidae. The record is from Rfam.
GGCAGUUCUCGGGUGAUGCACCCUGGAAUUGGGCUCCCUCCUCUCUGGUUCUGGGUGCGUCACCUGAGAACCACA